This is a long non-coding RNA of Siniperca chuatsi (mandarin fish), 894 nucleotides long. RefSeq lists it as uncharacterized. The record is from RefSeq and is a predicted model, not a curated record. NCBI's taxonomy places the organism in Eukaryota, Metazoa, Chordata, Actinopteri, Centrarchiformes, Sinipercidae. The transcript is spliced from 3 exons.
UCUAGUCGAGCCAGGUUGUUGAGGUAGCAGUGGAGGAGAGCAGGGAGGAACAAUAAGCUGUAGACUUGAGUAUGGAUAUUGCAUAACUACGGCCACCUCUGAUCACCAGGGAGUCAAUCAAGAUAAACACAGAUGCAGGUGUAGAGGGAGAGCACAAUUUUCUGCUGGUAUAUUUUGAGUGAGAAAUUUACUGACUGUCAUGUCUCCAUGAUGUCUCCAUCUCUGCUGCUAUCAGUUAAUGAAGCCCAGUCUGGAGCGUGGAGAAGCACUAAACCAAUCUGCAGGACACACAUGAGGAGCAGAGGGGAUUUGUGGACAGCGAGGCACUCACAGGCAGUUAGCUCGGGGGCAUCGAGCUUCAGUUUGCGAUCUGAUAGUCUAUCUUUGACUCUAAAUACCAACUGGAAAAACCUAAAUAUGGUAAUAGAAUAUAUUGCCUUCAGAUUUACUGUGUGUUACAAGCGUGGGCACCAAGGAGGCAAGUUGCAGAAGUGUAAAAGCCAUCUUCAAUAGAGUUGGCAGUAAGACCUCUAAAACACAAGUGAAAAACGUUGAAGAUAGCUGGAGAGGAAUAUUCCCCUAAGGUGUCUGCAUUGCACCAAUAAGGAAGACGCCGAGCCCUGUUGGUGGAAGGUGCAGUGAGGUUCGCCGAAUUCCACACAAGCCCAUCAGUCUGAAUAUGACUUCUCCAGAGGGAGUGGAUCCCCCACACUCAGCCGAUGGCGGUGAGCUGUUUUUCUCUCUGGGGUUAAUUUGUGGCACCACAUCGUGAGACAUCAAUUCUUUCUGACGUGUUGUGUAGAGAAAAUAGGAACAUUUAAAGGCCUUUAUUUGUCAUCGUUUUUCCUCAGACAAAUUUAUUACCAGGGAGGUCGCUGGCCUUGAGACACCCAG